GCGGGCGGCGUGCUACACAUGCAGUCGAACGAUGAAGCCCUUCGGGGUGGAUUAGUGGCGAACGGGUGAGUAACACGUGGGCAAUCUGCCCUGCACUCUGGGACAAGCCCUGGAAACGGGGUCUAAUACCGGAUAUGACUGUCCACCGCAUGGUGGAUGGUGUAAAGCUCCGGCGGUGCAGGAUGAGCCCGCGGCCUAUCAGCUUGUUGGUGAGGUAGUGGCUCACCAAGGCGACGACGGGUAGCCGGCCUGAGAGGGCGACCGGCCACACUGGGACUGAGACACGGCCCAGACUCCUACGGGAGGCAGCAGUGGGGAAUAUUGCACAAUGGGCGAAAGCCUGAUGCAGCGACGCCGCGUGAGGGAUGACGGCCUUCGGGUUGUAAACCUCUUUCAGCAGGGAAGAAGCGAAAGUGACGGUACCUGCAGAAGAAGCGCCGGCUAACUACGUGCCAGCAGCCGCGGUAAUACGUAGGGCGCAAGCGUUGUCCGGAAUUAUUGGGCGUAAAGAGCUCGUAGGCGGCUUGUCACGUCGGUUGUGAAAGCCCGGGGCUUAACCCCGGGUCUGCAGUCGAUACGGGCAGGCUAGAGUUCGGUAGGGGAGAUCGGAAUUCCUGGUGUAGCGGUGAAAUGCGCAGAUAUCAGGAGGAACACCGGUGGCGAAGGCGGAUCUCUGGGCCGAUACUGACGCUGAGGAGCG
This 700-nucleotide ribosomal RNA is filed under the name Streptomyces koyangensis. RNAcentral's name for it is "bacterial SSU rRNA". It matches the Rfam family "Bacterial small subunit ribosomal RNA", at positions 35 to 755 of the family's 1533-position model. The record is from RNAcentral. Lineage: Bacteria; Bacillati; Actinomycetota; Actinomycetes; Kitasatosporales; Streptomycetaceae.